UUCAUUUGACUAAGCAAAAAGAAACCCAGAUCAUGCUGAAACUUUAUUGAACUCAAAAUGUGGGAAUUUCUUAUUUCUUGUCCUUUUCGGAGGGGGAGAAAAUACCACCGGAAAUUUGACCACGUCCCUUAAACCCUUCGCUAGCUUCACCACUAAUAGGGUUGAUCUUGUUCUCCUUCAUGUACUCAUUGGACUUCUCUUGCCAUUCACGAGUCAUGGUACGAGGAGAAGGAGCAGCUUGAGUGCGGAUGAGACCAAACAAUACGACACCGAUCGUUAAACCAGCGACAGUUCCCCAAAAAACUGUCUUUUGACUAAUGUGGCUGAAAGCACGAGGACCGUGUUCACCAAAAGCAAUCCAAUAUGCGGCUUUCUUUUCCUCAAUGGAGAGUGUCGUCCAGGGUUGUUUCUGACGAGCAUACAAAUCUGUGAUAAGACCGUCUUUCUCCUCCUGAGACAUAAUACCCCAACGCUUGUCCAAAUCAACCAAACGAGGACGAGCGAUCAUGGCCUCUCCGGAAGGCUGCUCUUUCUGCAAAGCGUUGGUAGCAGCAGCACUCACAGUAGCAGCAUUGCGAGUGCAGAGAAGCUUCAUUGGCACUUUUUUGCAGAUAAUUUUUGAAAGAUACAUAAUUAUUAGCUUAAUUCAAUAAUUUAAUGCUAAAAAGAUCGAAUUAUAGAGAGAGGGGGAAUUUGGGUGUGUAAGGAAGAAGGCCAACGCCAAUCCUCGGGAGUCCCAUUGGCACACUGUCGGAGAAAUUAGGGUAGGGUUUAGCUUCGCAUGCUGAU
Molecule: non-coding RNA, 789 nt
Organism: Schizosaccharomyces pombe (fission yeast)
Lineage: Eukaryota; Fungi; Ascomycota; Schizosaccharomycetes; Schizosaccharomycetales; Schizosaccharomycetaceae
Source: the annotation of a GenBank genome assembly